AGUGAACGCUGGCGGCGUGCUUAACACAUGCAAGUCGAACGAGAACGGAUUAUAGCUUGCUAUAAUUGUCAGCUAAGUGGCGCACGGGUGAGUAAUAUAUAGGUAACGUGCCCCAAAGAAGAGGAUAACAGAUGGAAACGUCUGCUAAGACUCUAUAUGCCUUUAUGACAAAAGUCAGCAAGGGAAUAUUUAUAGCUUUGGGAUCGGCCUGUACAGUAUCAGUUAGUGGUGAGGUAAUGGCUCACCAAGACAAUGACGCUUAACUGGUUUGAGAGGAUGAUCAGUCACGACUGGAACUGAGACACGGUCCAGACUCCUACGGGAGCAGCAGUGGGGAUAUUGCACAAUGGACGAAAGUCU
This 360-nucleotide ribosomal RNA is filed under the name uncultured bacterium. Its description in RNAcentral is "bacterial SSU rRNA". It matches the Rfam family "Bacterial small subunit ribosomal RNA", at positions 29 to 384 of the family's 1533-position model. The record is from RNAcentral.